RNAcentral lists this ribosomal RNA (460 nucleotides) under uncultured bacterium. RNAcentral describes it as "partial 16S ribosomal RNA". It matches the Rfam family "Bacterial small subunit ribosomal RNA", at positions 338 to 795 of the family's 1533-position model. The record is from RNAcentral.
CCUACGGGGGGCAGCAGUGAGGAAUAUUGGUCAAUGGCCGAGAGUCUGAACCAGCCAAGUCGCGUGAAGGAUGACUGCCCUAUGGGUUGUAAACUUCUUUUAUAUGGGAAUAAAAUGUUCCACGUGUGGGGUUUUGUAUGUACCAUAUGAAUAAGGAUCGGCUAACUCCGUGCCAGCAGCCGCGGUAAUACGGAGGAUCCGAGCGUUAUCCGGAUUUAUUGGGUUUAAAGGGAGCGUAGGUGGGUUGUUAAGUCAGUUGUGAAAGUUUGGGGCUUAACCGGAAAAUUGCCGUUGAAACUGGCAGUCUUGAGUACGUGAGAGGUGAGCGGAAUGCGUGGUGUAGCGGUGAAAUGCUUAGAUAUCACGAAGAACUCCGAUUGCGAAGGCAGCUCACUGGACUGCAACUGACACUGAGGCUCGAAAGUGUGGGUAUCAAACAGGAUUAGAUACCCCAGUAGUC